GAUGAACGCUGGCGGCGUGCCUAAUACAUGCAAGUCGAGCGAACAGACGAGGAGCUUGCUCCUCUGACGUUAGCGGCGGACGGGUGAGUAACACGUGGAUAACCUACCUAUAAGACUGGGAUAACUUCGGGAAACCGGAGCUAAUACCGGAUAAUAUAUUGAACCGCAUGGUUCAAUAGUGAAAGACGGUUUUGCUGUCACUUAUAGAUGGAUCCGCGCCGCAUUAGCUAGUUGGUAAGGUAACGGCUUACCAAGGCAACGAUGCGUAGCCGACCUGAGAGGGUGAUCGGCCACACUGGAACUGAGACACGGUCCAGACUCCUACGGGAGGCAGCAGUAGGGAAUCUUCCGCAAUGGGCGAAAGCUUGACGGAGCAACGCCGCGUGAGUGAUGAAGGUCUUUGGAUCGUAAAACUCUGUUAUUAGGGAAGAACAAAUGUGUAAGUAACUAUGCACGUCUUGACGGUACCUAAUCAGAAAGCCACGGCUAACUACGU
This 496-nucleotide ribosomal RNA is filed under the name uncultured bacterium. RNAcentral's name for it is "partial 16S ribosomal RNA". It matches the Rfam family "Bacterial small subunit ribosomal RNA", at positions 28 to 506 of the family's 1533-position model. The record is from RNAcentral.